AUGACGUCAAGUCAGCAUGGCCUUUAUAUCCUGGGCUACACACACGCUACAAUGGUCUGUACAAUGGGUAGCCAAGCCGCGAGGCGGAGCCAAUCCUGAAAGCAGGCCUCAGUUCAGAUUGCAGUCUGCAACUCGACUGCAUGAAGCCGGAGUUGCUAGUAACCGCAGGUCAGCAAUACUGCGGUGAAUACGUUCCCGGGUCUU
This 204-nucleotide ribosomal RNA is filed under the name uncultured Anaerolineaceae bacterium. RNAcentral's name for it is "partial 16S ribosomal RNA". It matches the Rfam family "Bacterial small subunit ribosomal RNA", at positions 1179 to 1382 of the family's 1533-position model. Lineage: Bacteria; Bacillati; Chloroflexota; Anaerolineae; Anaerolineales; Anaerolineaceae. The record is from RNAcentral.